Molecule: transfer RNA, 87 nt
Filed under: Botryobasidium botryosum FD-172 SS1
Lineage: Eukaryota; Fungi; Basidiomycota; Agaricomycetes; Cantharellales; Botryobasidiaceae
Description: tRNA-Und (NNN) (tRNA-Und-NNN-1-1)
Source: RNAcentral
UCUCUCCUAGUAUAACGGUCAUUGCGCCUCGGCACUAGUAUACUAGCAGGCCGGAGAGAUCUAGGUUCGAUUCCUAGGGAGGGUCAA